GCCCGGACAGCAGAGCAUGGAAUAAURGAAUAGGACCUCGGUCCCAUWGCGUUGGUUUUCGGAACUGGAGGUAAUGAUURAGAGGGACUGACGGGGGCAUUNUUAUUGCAGGCCCAGAGGUGGUCCU
RNAcentral lists this ribosomal RNA (127 nucleotides) under Echinaster sepositus. Its description in RNAcentral is "partial 18S small subunit ribosomal RNA". The record is from RNAcentral. Lineage: Eukaryota; Metazoa; Echinodermata; Asteroidea; Spinulosida; Echinasteridae.